AUACAUCGGAACGUGUCCUGGAGUGGGGGAUAGCCCGGCGAAAGCCGGAUUAAUACCGCAUACGCUCUGUGGAGGAAGGCGGGGGACCGAAAGGCCUCGCGCUCAAGGAGCGGCCGAUGGCGGAUUAGCUAGUUGGUGGGGUAAAGGCCCACCAAGGCGACGAUCCGUAGCUGGUCUGAGAGGACGACCAGCCACACUGGGACUGAGACACGGCCCAGACUCCUACGGGAGGCAGCAGUGGGGAAUUUUGGACAAUGGGCGCAAGCCUGAUCCAGCAAUGCCGCGUGUGUGAAGAAGGCCUUCGGGUUGUAAAGCACUUUUGUCCGGAAAGAAAACUUCGUCCCUAACAUGGAUGGAGGAUGACGGUACCGGAAGAAUAAGCACCGGCUAACUACGUGCCAGCAGCCGCGGUAAUACGUAAGGUGCGAGCGUU
RNAcentral lists this ribosomal RNA (433 nucleotides) under uncultured Burkholderia sp. RNAcentral describes it as "bacterial SSU rRNA". It matches the Rfam family "Bacterial small subunit ribosomal RNA", at positions 113 to 542 of the family's 1533-position model. Lineage: Bacteria; Pseudomonadati; Pseudomonadota; Betaproteobacteria; Burkholderiales; Burkholderiaceae. The record is from RNAcentral.